This 1303-nucleotide long non-coding RNA is filed under the name Cricetulus griseus (Chinese hamster). RNAcentral describes it as "lncRNA (ENSCGRG00015041700.1)". The record is from RNAcentral. Lineage: Eukaryota; Metazoa; Chordata; Mammalia; Rodentia; Cricetidae.
GCUCAGCAAGUUAAUAACUAAACCCAACCCUCAAGUCUGUUGGCAAAGGGCAUAUUUAAGCUUAAUGAUGCUGUAUCCACCCAGAAAGAUAAACGAGGCUUUGAUAAUCCUGCUCUGUCGAGUGGGGAGAGGAAAAUGACUCAUGAGCCACCUGGGACACAGAAUGAGUGGCCUGCAUUGCACAUAUUUUGGAAGAGCUUCGGUUACUGACUUCAAUCAAGUUGAGGAUUUCAAGCGAGAUCUUCAAUCAAGCGAAUCCCAUCUAACAUGGACUGGAUACAAUCCAUUCAAGACUUUCACUAUACUAACAUUUUCUUCCUACAGGACCCCACAAGGCUAUUGUCCCAUUUCAGCAGGAAGUAACUUGGAGGAUGCUACUCCCCCUUUCCCCAUUGUUGUCAUUUAGGAUACUGUAUAUACCUAGUUAGGGAUAGCUUCCUAUUGUUUAUGAUUGGGAUUGGAAGGAGGUGUUCAGGCUUGGACACCUCUUUCAGAUGACUUUAGGGUUUAGUUAAAACAGAUAGUUAGGAUGUGACAUAAGCAGAUUGUUGUGUCUUCUUAUAUUUCACCUUUAUUAUUGUUAAUUUUGGAUACUUUACUCUGUUAAGUUUUAAUCCUCUUUUAGACUAAAAGGGGAAUUGUAGGGGAACCUGUAGCCAUGUCUGCUUAGGGGCUGGCUACAGGUCUGCCUAACCACUCUUGUGAGGGUGUGGUCAGGGUGACAUAGAGUGAGAGGUUCAAGGCUGUGUUUCACUUUCUUUUUCCCCUUCAGCUUGCUGUACAGACUGCUGCCAUGCCAGCUGGCUAGGUCGCUCUGUAAUGCUGACAUAAAUGCUACUGGAAGGAAUAAAUCACCAUGUGUUGUCAAAGCUUGUGUUCCUCGGACUCAGCAGCUCCUGGGACAUCCAGAUUCUUGUCUUUGGCUGUUCCUCUAUACUUUGUAUGGCAAGCAUGAUGGGAAAUUCCCUGAUUCUUUUGACCCUGGCUUCACAUAUUCACUUACACCCUCCAUGAACUUUCUGUUGUAUAUUAAUAGACCUAUAUGAUAUUAAGAAAAGUUAUAUAAGUUCAUUUUUACUCUAACAUCAAAGCCAAACUAAAGGCUAACGGCCCAAUGAAAAAGGGAUGAGAACCAUUUAGUACUGAGGAAUGAACUUUAAAAUAAAAGUGAAGUAUCACUCCCAAAAGAGCUGAAAAAUUCCAAGGUCAAUUUAAAGUGUAAAAUAAGAUACAAUUGUUUAAAAGAGAGAGAUGAGGGGAUUUUGUUUUUUAUAGUGUGGACUCAUUUUAUCUCACUUAUUAG